UGAGGUAGAUUUAGCAGAUUUUCCCUUGGUAAGGAGGAUGCCCAUUCAUGUUAUAGUGAAGGAAGUUAAGCCUCAAGGAUGAGCUGACCAAUGCAAUAGAAAACCCAACAAUUGAAGUGUGGAGUGUGGGGACUCUAUGUAGGCAAUACGUGCUGCUUUGCAAAUGCCAAGGUCUGUAAGCAAAAAUUAGGCCAUAUGUGAUCAGGAAGUAAGAAAAAGUAAAACAAA
Molecule: non-coding RNA, 228 nt
Organism: Pelobates cultripes (western spadefoot toad)
Lineage: Eukaryota; Metazoa; Chordata; Amphibia; Anura; Pelobatidae
Source: the annotation of a GenBank genome assembly